This 24-nucleotide non-coding RNA is filed under the name Arabidopsis thaliana (thale cress). The record is from RNAcentral. Lineage: Eukaryota; Viridiplantae; Streptophyta; Magnoliopsida; Brassicales; Brassicaceae.
GUAUCCCUGUUUCGUUUACUGCCU